RNAcentral lists this long non-coding RNA (356 nucleotides) under Bos taurus (domestic cattle). RNAcentral's name for it is "long non-coding RNA NONBTAT018743". The record is from RNAcentral. Lineage: Eukaryota; Metazoa; Chordata; Mammalia; Artiodactyla; Bovidae.
GUUUAAAGUCAUCUUGUUAGCUAACUGCACAACUUCUUCAGUUAAAAAAAUACUUUUCUUGCUAAAAUUCUACACUUGAAUAAAUAUAAACAAUUAAUAAUUGUACAAUUCUUAAAUGAUGUAAUAUUAAUUUCAAAACUAAAAUUAAAUAAGUUGAUUUUACAUGUGAAAAUCAGUAACAUGGAUUUUAAAAUUGAUACUAAUUUUGCAACAAAAUAAUUUGGAGUAAAUGUUUGGUAUGCUUUAUUUAUGAGGCCAAAUGAAGCAGGAUGAAAUACUGUAUUGAAAUAGGCUCACACUGUUAAAUAUAGUAGAUCAUAACUGCUAAGUCAUACUGACUUUAAAUAUCAAGUAUC